RNAcentral lists this ribosomal RNA (622 nucleotides) under Stenotrophomonas maltophilia group sp. RNC7. RNAcentral's name for it is "partial 23S ribosomal RNA". It matches the Rfam family "Bacterial large subunit ribosomal RNA", at positions 1375 to 1990 of the family's 2925-position model. The record is from RNAcentral. Lineage: Bacteria; Pseudomonadati; Pseudomonadota; Gammaproteobacteria; Lysobacterales; Lysobacteraceae.
CAGGGUAAGUCGGGACCUAAGGCGAGGCCGAAAGGCGUAGUCGAAGGACAACAGGUUGAAAUUCCUGUACCACCGUAAACCGUUAUGAGCAAUGGGGUGACGCAGAAGGAUAGGGACGCGAGCUGAUGGAUGCUCGUCCAAGCAGUGAGGCUGAUGUGUAGGCAAAUCCGCACAUCAUUAAAGCUAGGCUGUGAUGGGGAGGGAAAAUUACAGUACCGAAGGUCUUGAUUUCAGGCUGCCAAGAAAAGCCUCUAGCCAGGUGAAGGUGCCCGUACCGCAAACCGACACAGGUAGGCGAGAUGAGUAUUCUAAGGCGCGCGGAAGAACUCUCGUUAAGGAACUCGGCAAAAUGACCCCGUAACUUCGGGAGAAGGGGUGCCUCGGUAGGGUGAAUAGCCCGAGGGGGCCGCAGUGAAAAGGCCCAAGCGACUGUUUAGCAAAAACACAGGUCUGUGCGAAGCCGCAAGGCGAAGUAUACGGGCUGACGCCUGCCCGGUGCUGGAAGGUUAAGGGGAGUGGUUAGCCGCAAGGCGAAGCUAUGAACCGAAGCCCCAGUAAACGGCGGCCGUAACUAUAACGGUCCUAAGGUAGCGAAAUUCCUUGUCAGGUAAAUUCUGACCCG